This 293-nucleotide long non-coding RNA is filed under the name Nicotiana benthamiana. RNAcentral describes it as "long non-coding RNA (NBEN_LNC037329)". Lineage: Eukaryota; Viridiplantae; Streptophyta; Magnoliopsida; Solanales; Solanaceae. The record is from RNAcentral.
UGGGGAUCCCGAGGAGAGAAUAGAGAAGAUGUCAAUGCUACUGAAGAAAAUUAAGGACUUCGUACUGACUGAGAACCCAAACAUUGAUUCUUCUGCAAGGGAAAAGUCUUCUACAUUUAGUGGACAAGCAUCUGAAGGCGGGAGCCAGAAGGCCCCAGUUAUACCAGAUGAUUUUCGUUGCCCUAAACUUCUUGUGGACAAGCAUCUGCAGACGAGAGCCAGAAGGCCCCAGUUAUACCAGAUGAUUUUCGUUGCCCUAUAUCCCUGGAGUUGAUGAGAGAUCCAGUCAUUGU